UACAGAGGGUGCUAGCGUUGUUCGGAAUUACUGGGCGUAAAGCGCGUGUAGGCGGCCAGGUAGGUCUGAUGUGAAAUCCCGCAGCUCAACUGCGGAACUGCAUCGGAAACCGCCAGGCUCGAGUACGAGAGAGGAAGGUGGAAUUCCUAGUGUAGAGGUGAAAUUCGUAGAUAUUAGGAGGAACACCUGCGGCGAAAGCGGCCUUCUGGAUCGAUACUGACGCUGAGACGCGAAAGCGUGGGGAGCAAAC
RNAcentral lists this ribosomal RNA (250 nucleotides) under uncultured bacterium. RNAcentral describes it as "partial 16S ribosomal RNA". It matches the Rfam family "Bacterial small subunit ribosomal RNA", at positions 524 to 773 of the family's 1533-position model. The record is from RNAcentral.